AUCCGACCCCUUCUUAGUGCGUGCCGCGUGCUGGAGGCUUGUGUUUCGUUUUUGCUGCCACCAGUUUGAAGUGUGGAUGAUACAAUCGGUUCUGGAAGAAAGGGGGAUCACAUCGUCUGUGUAAGCCUUCAUCAUUUGUAGAUUAGGAGAUUGCUUCUUUGGGCCAAAAAAUAAGCUUACCUCAGAACUUGGUUUUAUUAAAUUUCGUCCUUGGCUAGAACUUCUGGUAAUAUUUCUUGCGGAUUAAGUUUGCUACUGGAAUCGCUUCGCCAACUAUGCAUUUCAUUAGCCGUCGGAAAUUCUAUACAUCUGCUUAUUUCUCUUGUUUGUUUGUUCAACAAGCAGUGAUGAUAAUUUCCAUUAGCACCCCCCCCCCCCCCC
Triticum aestivum (bread wheat) is the source of this 381-nucleotide long non-coding RNA. RefSeq lists it as uncharacterized. Lineage: Eukaryota; Viridiplantae; Streptophyta; Magnoliopsida; Poales; Poaceae. The record is from RefSeq and is a predicted model, not a curated record. The transcript has 2 exons.